Molecule: non-coding RNA, 91 nt
Organism: Hypoxylon sp. FL0543
Lineage: Eukaryota; Fungi; Ascomycota; Sordariomycetes; Xylariales; Hypoxylaceae
Source: the annotation of a GenBank genome assembly
GCGGGGAUAGCUCAGUUGGGAGAGCGUCAGACUGAAGUCGAACUUCAUUCCUGAAAUCUGAAGGUCGUGCGUUCGAUCCGCACUCACCGCA